CCAGAUGAAUGGACUUUUGAAAUUUUCAAGAACAGUUUCAGUUCAGAUAUUUUCUAAUGUUGUAGCUAAAAAAGAAAUUUUGGGUCCAGUUUUGGCAAUUAAGAAUGAGGAAGUAUUCUGUCAGCUUCCAAGCUGCCAUAAGGACGGAGAGGAGAGGCUUGAACUUUUACCUACUUAAUUCCCCUGAAGAACUGUCUCCACAGAGAUGGAAUGGGGGGGGGGACAUUCCUGUGAACUGACGGAGAUGGGAUGAGAAGAGUGACUUGGAAGAUGGCCAAUGAGACGCAGAGAAUUGGGAACCGGAAAGAGAGGUUUUUUUGGGGCGGGGGGGCAAAGUUCAGUGCUAACUGCGCAUUGAGUCAGGGUCAGUUCAUUAUGCUCAAUAAAGAGAAAAAUUUCCUCAAA
Non-coding RNA from Pantherophis guttatus, 405 nucleotides. The record is from RefSeq and is a predicted model, not a curated record. NCBI's taxonomy places the organism in Eukaryota, Metazoa, Chordata, Lepidosauria, Squamata, Colubridae.